GUCCAUUUAAAGUUUGAAGGAAACCUACUGUUGCUAAGAACUAUUCAAUAAUAAUAUCUCAGAAUAAAAACUCCCAUUUGAUUGUAAACCACAUCUGACAUCUGGUUUUUCUGUUUGUGUUUACAGAAGUAUGGCUCAAUUGCUCCGAGGUUCAGACAGAGUCAGGAGCUUCAGCAGAGAGAGGAGAGACUGUUCAGCUCUGUCACCUUCAAACCAGGUUUCAACCACAGCAACAUCAAACUGACCGUGUGGAAGAGACUACACCGAAAAGUACUGCCAGCACAAGAGCUGUUGAAGCUGGAUCCUCAGACUGCC
Long non-coding RNA from Monopterus albus (swamp eel), 315 nucleotides. RefSeq lists it as uncharacterized. Lineage: Eukaryota; Metazoa; Chordata; Actinopteri; Synbranchiformes; Synbranchidae. The transcript is spliced from 3 exons. The record is from RefSeq and is a predicted model, not a curated record.